RNAcentral lists this ribosomal RNA (2932 nucleotides) under Escherichia coli. RNAcentral describes it as "bacterial LSU rRNA". It matches the Rfam family "Bacterial large subunit ribosomal RNA". The record is from RNAcentral. Lineage: Bacteria; Pseudomonadati; Pseudomonadota; Gammaproteobacteria; Enterobacterales; Enterobacteriaceae.
GGGUUGUGAGGUUAAGCGACUAAGCGUACACGGUGGAUGCCCUGGCAGUCAGAGGCGAUGAAGGACGUGCUAAUCUGCGAUAAGCGUCGGUAAGGUGAUAUGAACCGUUAUAACCGGCGAUUUCCGAAUGGGGAAACCCAGUGUGAUUCGUCACACUAUCAUUAACUGAAUCCAUAGGUUAAUGAGGCGAACCGGGGGAACUGAAACAUCUAAGUACCCCGAGGAAAAGAAAUCAACCGAGAUUCCCCCAGUAGCGGCGAGCGAACGGGGAGCAGCCCAGAGCCUGAAUCAGUGUGUGUGUUAGUGGAAGCGUCUGGAAAGGCGCGCGAUACAGGGUGACAGCCCCGUACACAAAAAUGCACAUACUGUGAGCUCGAUGAGUAGGGCGGGACACGUGGUAUCCUGUCUGAAUAUGGGGGGACCAUCCUCCAAGGCUAAAUACUCCUGACUGACCGAUAGUGAACCAGUACCGUGAGGGAAAGGCGAAAAGAACCCCGGCGAGGGGAGUGAAAAAGAACCUGAAACCGUGUACGUACAAGCAGUGGGAGCACAGAGCAAUCUGUGUGACUGCGUACCUUUUGUAUAAUGGGUCAGCGACUUAUAUUCUGUAGCAAGGUUAACCGAAUAGGGGAGCCGAAGGGAAACCGAGUCUUAACUGGGCGUUAAGUUGCAGGGUAUAGACCCGAAACCCGGUGAUCUAGCCAUGGGCAGGUUGAAGGUUGGGUAACACUAACUGGAGGACCGAACCGACUAAUGUUGAAAAAUUAGCGGAUGACUUGUGGCUGGGGGUGAAAGGCCAAUCAAACCGGGAGAUAGCUGGUUCUCCCCGAAAGCUAUUUAGGUAGCGCCUCGUGAAUUCAUCUCCGGGGGUAGAGCACUGUUUCGGCAAGGGGGUCAUCCCGACUUACCAACCCGAUGCAAACUGCGAAUACCGGAGAAUGUUAUCACGGGAGACACACGGCGGGUGCUAACGUCCGUCGUGAAGAGGGAAACAACCCAGACCGCCAGCUAAGGUCCCAAAGUCAUGGUUAAGUGGGAAACGAUGUGGGAAGGCCCAGACAGCCAGGAUGUUGGCUUAGAAGCAGCCAUCAUUUAAAGAAAGCGUAAUAGCUCACUGGUCGAGUCGGCCUGCGCGGAAGAUGUAACGGGGCUAAACCAUGCACCGAAGCUGCGGCAGCGACGCUUAUGCGUUGUUGGGUAGGGGAGCGUUCUGUAAGCCUGCGAAGGUGUGCUGUGAGGCAUGCUGGAGGUAUCAGAAGUGCGAAUGCUGACAUAAGUAACGAUAAAGCGGGUGAAAAGCCCGCUCGCCGGAAGACCAAGGGUUCCUGUCCAACGUUAAUCGGGGCAGGGUGAGUCGACCCCUAAGGCGAGGCCGAAAGGCGUAGUCGAUGGGAAACAGGUUAAUAUUCCUGUACUUGGUGUUACUGCGAAGGGGGGACGGAGAAGGCUAUGUUGGCCGGGCGACGGUUGUCCCGGUUUAAGCGUGUAGGCUGGUUUUCCAGGCAAAUCCGGAAAAUCAAGGCUGAGGCGUGAUGACGAGGCACUACGGUGCUGAAGCAACAAAUGCCCUGCUUCCAGGAAAAGCCUCUAAGCAUCAGGUAACAUCAAAUCGUACCCCAAACCGACACAGGUGGUCAGGUAGAGAAUACCAAGGCGCUUGAGAGAACUCGGGUGAAGGAACUAGGCAAAAUGGUGCCGUAACUUCGGGAGAAGGCACGCUGAUAUGUAGGUGAAGUCCCUCGCGGAUGGAGCUGAAAUCAGUCGAAGAUACCAGCUGGCUGCAACUGUUUAUUAAAAACACAGCACUGUGCAAACACGAAAGUGGACGUAUACGGUGUGACGCCUGCCCGGUGCCGGAAGGUUAAUUGAUGGGGUUAGCGCAAGCGAAGCUCUUGAUCGAAGCCCCGGUAAACGGCGGCCGUAACUAUAACGGUCCUAAGGUAGCGAAAUUCCUUGUCGGGUAAGUUCCGACCUGCACGAAUGGCGUAAUGAUGGCCAGGCUGUCUCCACCCGAGACUCAGUGAAAUUGAACUCGCUGUGAAGAUGCAGUGUACCCGCGGCAAGACGGAAAGACCCCGUGAACCUUUACUAUAGCUUGACACUGAACAUUGAGCCUUGAUGUGUAGGAUAGGUGGGAGGCUUUGAAGUGUGGACGCCAGUCUGCAUGGAGCCGACCUUGAAAUACCACCCUUUAAUGUUUGAUGUUCUAACGUGGACCCGUAAUCCGGGUUGCGGACAGUGUCUGGUGGGUAGUUUGACUGGGGCGGUCUCCUCCUAAAGAGUAACGGAGGAGCACGAAGGUUGGCUAAUCCUGGUCGGACAUCAGGAGGUUAGUGCAAUGGCAUAAGCCAGCUUGACUGCGAGCGUGACGGCGCGAGCAGGUGCGAAAGCAGGUCAUAGUGAUCCGGUGGUUCUGAAUGGAAGGGCCAUCGCUCAACGGAUAAAAGGUACUCCGGGGAUAACAGGCUGAUACCGCCCAAGAGUUCAUAUCGACGGCGGUGUUUGGCACCUCGAUGUCGGCUCAUCACAUCCUGGGGCUGAAGUAGGUCCCAAGGGUAUGGCUGUUCGCCAUUUAAAGUGGUACGCGAGCUGGGUUUAGAACGUCGUGAGACAGUUCGGUCCCUAUCUGCCGUGGGCGCUGGAGAAUUGAGGGGGGCUGCUCCUAGUACGAGAGGACCGGAGUGGACGCAUCACUGGUGUUCGGGUUGUCAUGCCAAUGGCACUGCCCGGUAGCUAAAUGCGGAAGAGAUAAGUGCUGAAAGCAUCUAAGCACGAAACUUGCCCCGAGAUGAGUUCUCCCUGACUCCUUGAGAGUCCUGAAGGAACGUUGAAGACGACGACGUUGAUAGGCCGGGUGUGUAAGCGCAGCGAUGCGUUGAGCUAACCGGUACUAAUGAACCGUGAGGCUUAACCUUACAACGCCGAAGCUGUU